GGUGAACGCUGGCGGUAGGCCUAACACAUGCAAGUCGAACGGCAGCACAGUAAGAGCUUGCUCUUACGGGUGGCGAGUGGCGGACGGGUGAGGAAUACAUCGGAAUCUACUUUUUCGUGGGGGAUAACGUAGGGAAACUUACGCUAAUACCGCAUACGACCUACGGGUGAAAGCAGGGGAUCUUCGGACCUUGCGCGAUUGAAUGAGCCGAUGUCGGAUUAGCUAGUUGGCGGGGUAAAGGCCCACCAAGGCGACGAUCCGUAGCUGGUCUGAGAGGAUGAUCAGCCACACUGGAACUGAGACACGGUCCAGACUCCUACGGGAGGCAGCAGUGGGGAAUAUUGGACAAUGGGCGCAAGCCUGAUCCAGCCAUACCGCGUGGGUGAAGAAGGCCUUCGGGUUUUAAAGCCCUUUUGUUGGGAAAGAAAAGCAGCAGGUUAAUACCCCGCUGUUCUGACGGUACCCAAAGAAUAAGCACCGGCUAACUUCGUG
Molecule: ribosomal RNA, 492 nt
Filed under: uncultured bacterium
Lineage: Bacteria
Description: partial 16S ribosomal RNA
Rfam family: Bacterial small subunit ribosomal RNA
Source: RNAcentral